Long non-coding RNA from Chenopodium quinoa (quinoa), 1432 nucleotides. RefSeq lists it as uncharacterized. Lineage: Eukaryota; Viridiplantae; Streptophyta; Magnoliopsida; Caryophyllales; Amaranthaceae. The record is from RefSeq and is a predicted model, not a curated record. The transcript has 3 exons.
UGGUUAACGCCACGGCUACGUACAUAACCGUUGCAAUAGCUAGGUCUAUUGCGACGGCUGCUUAAUACCUUCUCAAUAAUAGGGUCUAAAGCAACGGAUAAGAGUUGGCCGUUGCAAUAGGGCUUUUUUUUUUUUUUUUUUUUUUUUUUUUUUUUUUUUUGCAAUAGGGCUGUUUUAUACAAUGAGUGUAAAAUAUGAACUUUUUACCUGGGCGCACUAAAAAAUCCCACCUAAUUUUUCUCCAAAAUUAAAGUUUCACGCUUUCCUAAGAAAACCCGCCCUUCCUCUAAAAAAACAAAAGAAAUCCGCCAAAUUUCCUUUUUUUUUUCUUUUUCAUGAAUAAUCAAAAAGGCUACAAACCCGAUCCACCCAGCUUUCUCAAUCAAAUGGCUUUUUAUAAAAAAAAACCAAAACAGGUUCUCUUCUUCAAAUUUUCCAGCGGCAUCUUGAAUUUAAGGAGUGAGAUGUUAGAGGAAGGAGCUAGGAAUGGACCCCGCAAGCCGCAACCACCUUUGAUCUGAGGACGAUCUAUGUUUUUGAAUUUUGACGAGCGAUUUCUGUCUCCUUUGAUCUGACGGUGCCUCUUAUUACUUCCUGGUUUUCAGUUUUCCAAGUUGGGAUGACUUAUGUAUCAUGGAUUUGAUAUUAUAGUUGAUUACGUAGGCGUCCCAAUGAAGUCCUAGACCACACUUUGAAGCAAAAAGAGUGAGCUUUAAUUCUCGUAUGUUUAUAGAUUUAUUGCAAAGUUGUUUAUUUUUUUAUUGCUAUGUCUUAUUUGUUGGCAUGUUCUUUUCAAGGGGAAUUAUCUAGGGGCUCAUCCGUGGAGUGAAUGUCAGGAGGAUCAGCUAAUGUUGAUUAAUAUAAACUCAUUACUUGUCCUAAUAUUACUUCAAGUAAAUUUAUAUUCCUUGCCUAGAUUUAAUCGUGCUGCCUUGAUAUUUUUUCGUUGCUUUCAAUUACAUUUCAUCUAUUUGAUUUUGAAUGUAUGCGUCUUUCUGCAUAUGAACAAAUGGUAUUCAAUCUCAGUUACCUCUUCUGGAGUUAAUGGACUGUGGUAUGUUUAUUUAUGAUCCUGACAUGGAUGAUGCUUCUGUAGAUGAAAGCAGUGAUAAGUGUCCACAGAAAAGUAGCAAGCUAAGCUGCAUCAUAUAUAUCCUGAAGCUUAUUAUCAAGCAAAAGAAACUUUGCUUGUGGGGUUGUUCUGGCUUAGAUGGGAUUUAGAUCCAUUGGAUAUGGUGCAAAUAGUGCUACAGGUGGAAGAUGCUUCCAGAAUUGCUUUACUUGAGAAAUUUGAGAAGCAGGAGAAGAAAUGAUAAUGUGGUUCAAAGAAUUGCUGAAAAUAUUGUUUGGGGGACAAAAUGAUUUAAUUUUAACUUUUAAUUUUUUUUCUUAAUUAGUUUAACUAGUGAUAAUUUAAUUUUUUAAUUUUCCU